RNAcentral lists this unclassified non-coding RNA (253 nucleotides) under uncultured Verrucomicrobiota bacterium. RNAcentral describes it as "uncultured Verrucomicrobia bacterium contains 16S-23S intergenic spacer region". It matches the Rfam family "Bacterial small subunit ribosomal RNA", at positions 524 to 776 of the family's 1533-position model. The record is from RNAcentral. Lineage: Bacteria; Pseudomonadati; Verrucomicrobiota.
UACAGAGGUCCCAAGCGUUGUUCGGAUUCACUGGGCGUAAAGGGUGCGUAGGUGGCUGGGUAAGUUUGAUGUGAAAUCUCCGGGCUCAACUCGGAAAUGGCAUUGAAUACUAUCCAGCUCGAGGCUUGGAGGGGGGACUGGAAUUCUCGGUGUAGCAGUGAAAUGCGUAGAUAUCGAGAGGAACACCAGUGGCGAAGGCGAGUCCCUGGACAAGACCUGACACUGAGGCACGAAAGCUAGGGGAGCAAACAGG